CCCUACGGGGUGCAGCAGGCUCCAAAUCGGAAUCGUGGCGGUCUUGAGCAGUGUCCAGAUAACAUUCAUGCCGAGCUGUUGCGCCUUAGUGUCACCGGGCGGUUCAAAGCCAGCCACCCGGAGGUGAGGAUUUCAUAACACGUUUUGGUUUCGGUUCAAGAGCAAGUUGGGGUUUUCUAUUCCCGUUGGGUUUUGCCGGUCCCUGGCGGUCCGACAAACAAAAGGCCGGUUGCCGGGCGAAUGAAGCCGCCGGUGGCGAGGUUGUAGAGCUGCUUGCGCGGAAGGUGUCGCGACCCUGAUGCCGCGCGGGUGGGAUUACUGCAAAAGGCAUUGCAAAAGGCAUUGCAAAAGGCAUUGCAAAAGGCAUUGGGCAAAAGGCAUUGGGCAAAAUGAAUUGGCGGGAGGGC
Molecule: ribosomal RNA, 407 nt
Filed under: uncultured prokaryote
Description: partial 16S ribosomal RNA
Source: RNAcentral